UACGUAGGUGGCAAGCGUUGUCCGGAUUUAUUGGGCGUAAAGCGAGCGCAGGCGGUUCCUUAAGUCUGAUGUGAAAGCCCCCGGCUCAACCGGGGAAGGUCAUUGGAAACUGGGGAACUUGAGUGCAGAAGAGGAGAGUGGAAUUCCAUGUGUAGCGGUGAAAUGCGUAGAUAUAUGGAGGAACACCAGUGGCGAAGGCGACUCUCUGGUCUGUAACUGACGCUGAUGUGCGAAAGCGUGGGGAUCAAACAGG
This 253-nucleotide ribosomal RNA is filed under the name uncultured bacterium. Its description in RNAcentral is "partial 16S ribosomal RNA". It matches the Rfam family "Bacterial small subunit ribosomal RNA", at positions 524 to 776 of the family's 1533-position model. The record is from RNAcentral.